Molecule: ribosomal RNA, 201 nt
Filed under: Proteus vulgaris
Lineage: Bacteria; Pseudomonadati; Pseudomonadota; Gammaproteobacteria; Enterobacterales; Morganellaceae
Description: partial 16S ribosomal RNA
Rfam family: Bacterial small subunit ribosomal RNA
Source: RNAcentral
AGAAAGCUUGCUUUCUUGCUGACGAGCGGCGGACGGGUGAGUAAUGUAUGGGGAUCUGCCCGAUAGAGGGGGAUAACUACUGGAAACGGUGGCUAAUACCGCAUGACGUCUACGGACCAAAGCAGGGGCUCUUCGGACCUUGCGCUAUCGGAUGAACCCAUAUGGGAUUAGCUAGUAGGUGAGGUAAUGGCUCACCUAGGC